This 524-nucleotide long non-coding RNA is filed under the name Lupinus angustifolius (narrow-leaved blue lupine). RNAcentral describes it as "long non-coding RNA (LANG_LNC001195)". Lineage: Eukaryota; Viridiplantae; Streptophyta; Magnoliopsida; Fabales; Fabaceae. The record is from RNAcentral.
GGCAUAUUUUAAAGGAUGAAAAUACUACUUUUCCCUUCUGUUCUGUCCACCAGACCACCACAACUCAAUCCACCCAUUUUUUAACCGCCCUUUACCGGUGACAGCCUCCUUUUCCGGUAAUGUGCCACCACCUUCUAGCACCUCUUUCAAGGUUCUCAAAACUGAAUCCAUGAAAAAAAUAAUUACUAAUUAGCAAACAAGAUGUAGCGAGAUUAGAGUACCGCCGUGCCAUUGCAGCGGCGCCGAUAACCUUCUUUACCUUUCAUGAUAAUCUCCUCCACUGAUGAAUAAACUUCAUGAUAACAUUCUUUAACGUUCUUUGUCGUAGUGCCGUCAUUUCCCAGACGCAACACGCAAUGGUUUGAACUUUGAACUCAACCGUUCUUGUAUAUUUUAACCUAUGCUUCCAUAUAGGAUCUAAACCAACGCAAAGAUCUGGAUUUGCUUUUGUUAUGACUAUUUACCUUCUCUUUUCUAGAAUUAUCCAAAGAAGCAGAAGAUUCAUAUAUGAAUGGAGAUUGAGG